GAAAGCCUGUUAACUACAACAUCUUCUGAAUGCAACUCAAACGCUUUUAUUAAGCUAA
Molecule: transfer RNA, 58 nt
Filed under: Rieppeleon brevicaudatus (bearded pygmy chameleon)
Lineage: Eukaryota; Metazoa; Chordata; Lepidosauria; Squamata; Chamaeleonidae
Description: tRNA-Ala
Source: RNAcentral